RNAcentral lists this ribosomal RNA (440 nucleotides) under uncultured bacterium. Its description in RNAcentral is "partial 16S ribosomal RNA". It matches the Rfam family "Bacterial small subunit ribosomal RNA", at positions 338 to 795 of the family's 1533-position model. The record is from RNAcentral.
CCUACGGGUGGCAGCAGUAGGGAAUAUUGCACAAUGGGGGAAACCCUGAAGCAGCAACGCCGCGUGGAGGAUGAAGGUUUUCGGAUUGUAAACUCCUUUUGUUAGAGACGAUAAUGACGGUAUCUAACGAAUAAGCACCGGCUAACUCCGUGCCAGCAGCCGCGGUCAUACGGAGGGUGCAAGCGUUACUCGGAAUCACUGGGCGUAAAGUGCGCGUAGGCGGGAUAGCAAGUCAGAUGUGAAAUCCUAUGGCUUAACCAUAGAACUGCAUUUGAAACUGUUAUUCUAGAGUAUGGGAGAGGUAGGUGGAAUUCUUGGUGUAGGGGUAAAAUCCGUAGAGAUAAAGAGGAAUACUCAUUGCGAAGGCGACCUGCUAGAACAUAACUGACGCUGAUGCGCGAAAGCGUGGGGAGCAAACAGGAUUAGAUACCCCUGUAGUC